Molecule: unclassified non-coding RNA, 392 nt
Filed under: soil metagenome
Description: partial contains 5.8S ribosomal RNA, internal transcribed spacer 2, and large subunit ribosomal RNA
Rfam family: 5.8S ribosomal RNA (bases 1-122)
Source: RNAcentral
GAUGAAGAACGCAGCGAAAUGCGAUACUUGGUGUGAAUUGCAGAAUCCCGUGAACCAUCGAGUCUUUGAACGCAAGUUGCGCCCGAAGCCAUUAGGCCGAGGGCACGCCUGCCUGGGCGUCACACGUCGUUGCCCCCCCCAUCUACUCCUUCGGGAUUGCGGGGGGCGGAUGAUGGCCUCUCGUGCGCCUCGUCGCGCGGUUGGCCUAAAUGCCAAGUCCUCGGCGACGCACGCCACGACAAUCGGUGGUUGCGAAACCUCGGUUGCCUGUCGUGUGCGGUCGUCGCGCAUCGAGGGCUCGAAAAAAUUGCCGGGCUUCGGCUCGACUUUCAACGCGACCCCAGGUCAGGCGGGGUUACCCGCUGAAUUUAAGCAUAUCAAUAAGCGGAGGA